CCUACCUUGACCUCCCGCACAUGGUGGCUGCCUGCCGCUGCUCCAGGCCUCCAAACGGAGCAGAACACAACCCUUCUUCCCCGACAUGUAGCUCUUGCCUUGCAUUGCCCAAACUUGCAGCUUGCUGAGAUGUGAACCGUAGCACCUCUCCUGCUCAUCCCCGGCAGGCUGCUCAUCUUGGACAAGGGCGAGGUGGCAGAUCUGCUGCUAACGCUUCUCUGCCCUGACGAUAACCGGGGCGAUGAAAGAUGCGCCGAUGGUGAGGAUGGGCAACAAUGGUUUCAGGAGCCACGCCUUCCCUUCUGCCACCAUUUACUGUAAAAUCGGAGCUGUUUUGGCUGCUGCUGCCCAUUGUGCAUCACAAUAGACAGUCACGUGCAUACAUACAGGCCGGAGCACGGAGUGGCUGGAGCUAGGCGAAGGGAGCAGCGCCGCUUUACCUACUGUGGCAGUGGU
Molecule: long non-coding RNA, 456 nt
Organism: Lolium rigidum
Lineage: Eukaryota; Viridiplantae; Streptophyta; Magnoliopsida; Poales; Poaceae
Exons: 3
Source: RefSeq, a predicted model, not a curated record